This 97-nucleotide small nucleolar RNA is filed under the name Nomascus leucogenys (northern white-cheeked gibbon). RNAcentral describes it as "Small nucleolar RNA U13". It matches the Rfam family "Small nucleolar RNA U13". The record is from Rfam by way of RNAcentral. Lineage: Eukaryota; Metazoa; Chordata; Mammalia; Primates; Hylobatidae.
AUUCUUUUGCGGCUCAUAAGCAUGAUGAUUAGAUUUUCAUGUGCACGUGUGAGAUGUGCCUCCUCAAGCCUUGUUAUGACCUCAGCACAUCCAGAUG